Molecule: ribosomal RNA, 253 nt
Filed under: uncultured bacterium
Lineage: Bacteria
Description: partial 16S ribosomal RNA
Rfam family: Bacterial small subunit ribosomal RNA
Source: RNAcentral
GAUCAUGGCUCAGGAUGAACGCUAGCGACAGGCUUAACACAUGCAAGUCGAGGGGCAGCGGGGAGUAGCAAUACUUCGCCGGCGACCGGCGCACGGGUGAGUAACACGUGUGCAACCAACCCCGUACCGGGAGAUAACCCGCGGAAACGUGGACUAACAUCCCAUGACACUCGAGAGCCGCAUGGCUCUAGAUUUAAAAUUCCGGUGGUACGGGACGGGCACGCGCGACAUUAGGUAGUUGGCGGGGUAACGG